This is a long non-coding RNA of Zophobas morio, 639 nucleotides long. RefSeq lists it as uncharacterized. The transcript has 4 exons. The record is from RefSeq and is a predicted model, not a curated record. Lineage: Eukaryota; Metazoa; Arthropoda; Insecta; Coleoptera; Tenebrionidae.
GGGGAGCAAUUGUUUAAGUGGUUCGAGAAGAAGAGGAGGGAAAAGAAUUUUUUAAUCGGGAGCUCUGACUGAAGUUUUUUGUCAUUGACUCUAUUCUGGCCGUACGCCCAGCUUCUGCAUCAUCCCUUUAUGGUAGUGACUCCUUUUUUGGAGUUGACCAGAACUUUAUUGACUUUCUCUUGAAUAUUGUUCUGCGAAACAAUACCAACGGACCGAGUCUUGUACUUGGCUUGGUACUUAUAAUCAUCGUCAACUUUUUUCUGUUGUUAUUGGGAAUUUCUCCAGCUUGAUCCACGAAUAGAGUCAAUCUUAACAUGAAAUUUUUGGCCAACACCUGAUUAAGGGUAGAGGAAUGAGUGAAGUCUCGGAGAGGGAUUGUUUUAUCUUCACUGGUGUAGGCUUAAAAAGUCUUUUGAGUUUGUCCCACUCAAGGAUGUACUUCUCAUACACGCCAUCCAUGGACUCUCUAAGACUCAUUAGGUUAGAGAUGGUGAGAGUCCCAGAGACCGAAAACUACCACUUGACGUAUCAAAAAAACUUAAACAAUUUUUUUCCAGAGCAAAAACAGUUUACGCCUAUGGUUAUAUUAUAUUAAAAAAAGGUUUAGCUGAACAAGUUCAGAAGAUUAAAGACACCAAG